GCGCCGCAACGGCUUCCUGACGUGGCGCACAUUUAACCCUUGGAGCA
Molecule: non-coding RNA, 47 nt
Filed under: unclassified sequences
Description: SAM-SAH-Weickhmann-2018 RNA
Rfam family: SAM/SAH riboswitch aptamer
Source: RNAcentral